This 28-nucleotide small RNA is filed under the name Bombyx mori (domestic silkworm). Its description in RNAcentral is "piRNA piR-bmo-1398716". The record is from RNAcentral. Lineage: Eukaryota; Metazoa; Arthropoda; Insecta; Lepidoptera; Bombycidae.
UUAUCGGCAGUUGGUGAAAUAUGGUCCU